Molecule: ribosomal RNA, 433 nt
Filed under: uncultured bacterium
Lineage: Bacteria
Description: partial 16S ribosomal RNA
Rfam family: Bacterial small subunit ribosomal RNA
Source: RNAcentral
AACGAACGCUGGCGGCAUGCCUAACACAUGCAAGUCGAACGAAACGUCCGGGUCUUGGGGCGCAUGGUGUUGUAACGCGUGGGAAGCUGCCCUUGUGUUCACCAUAACUCCCCGACAGGGAUCCUAAUACCGGAUAGUGUCUUCGGACCAAUGAUUUUUGGCCUCGGGGUGGGCCUGCGUUGGAUUAGGUCGUUGGGAGGGUAAAAGCCUACGAAGGCGUCGAUCAAGAGAUGGUCUGAGAGGAUGAUCAGCCACGCUGGGACUGAGACACGGCCUAGACUCCUACGGGAGGGAGGAGUGGCGAAUAUAGGACAAUGGGCGAAAGCAUGAACCAGCAAUGACGGGUAAGUGAUGAUGGGCGUAGAGUUCUAAUGCUCUUUUACCCGUGAUGAUAAUGACGGUACCGGGAGAAUAAGCCCCGGCUAACUACGUG